AUUGAACGCUGGUGGCAGGCUUAACACAUGCAAGUCGAACGGUAACAGGAAUUAGCUUGCUAAUUUGCUGACGCGUGGCGGACGGGUGUGUAAUGCUUGGGAAUCUGGCUUAUGGAGGGGGAUAACUACGGGAAACUGUAGCUAAUACCGCGUAAAAUCUUCGGAUUAAAGGGUGGGACUUUCGAGCCACCUGCCAUAAGAUGAGCCCGAGUGGGAUUAGGUAGUUGGUUAGGUAAAGGCUGACCAAGCCGACGAUCUCUAGCUGGUCUGAGAGGAUGACCAGCCACACUGGAACUGAGACACGGCCCAGACUCCUACGGGAGGCAGCAGUGGGGAAUAUUGCACAAUGGGGGGAACCCUGAUGCAGCCAUGCCGCGUGAAUGAAGAAGGCCUUCGGGUUGUAAAGUUCUUUCGGUGACGAGGAAGGUUGAUAGGUUAAUAGCCUAUCAAAUUGACGGUAAUCACAGAAGAAGCAACGGCUAACUCCGUG
RNAcentral lists this ribosomal RNA (490 nucleotides) under uncultured bacterium. RNAcentral describes it as "partial 16S ribosomal RNA". It matches the Rfam family "Bacterial small subunit ribosomal RNA", at positions 30 to 507 of the family's 1533-position model. The record is from RNAcentral.